AUGGUAACGUUUUUAAACCAUGUGAUAUCUGUCAUGAGAUUUACUACUCCUACACCUUUGGGCACCGGGGCUGUGAGCCACCGUUGCUGGUCGCAGUACUCAAAUGGCAGCCGUACGGAUCAGUCCCGGUGCCCGAGAAAGGCCUCGUCUUUCUGCUCUUUGCUUGUGGUUUGGUGCACUGAAAAGAAUGUGGGGGGAGGGAGGGCAUGGGAAAUAGUUUACAAAACCAGCUGGGCCAAAGCAUUGCGGUGUUUUACUGCCAGGAGAUCUUGGCUAUGUGUAUCAUGUCAUGCAGAGGCUCGGUAUUGGCUCAGUGCGGUAGUAUCAGCCUCCUUUUUUGUCUCAAAAAAAGUCUGUCAUAUGCAUAGCAUUUGUGUGGGUGGGAAUCAGAAAUUUAUCACUCACUACAAACAAAAGAAUUUUGUCAGUCUUGUUUCCUUACGUGGAAAAGCUAGUUAA
This 459-nucleotide ribosomal RNA is filed under the name Triticum aestivum (bread wheat). Its description in RNAcentral is "partial small subunit ribosomal RNA". The record is from RNAcentral. Lineage: Eukaryota; Viridiplantae; Streptophyta; Magnoliopsida; Poales; Poaceae.